This 465-nucleotide ribosomal RNA is filed under the name uncultured bacterium. Its description in RNAcentral is "partial 16S ribosomal RNA". It matches the Rfam family "Bacterial small subunit ribosomal RNA", at positions 29 to 507 of the family's 1533-position model. The record is from RNAcentral.
AAUGAACGUUGGCGGCGUGGAUUAGGCAUGCAAGUCGAGCGAGAACCCCGCAAGGGGGGACAGCGGCGAAAGGGACAGUAAUGUGUAGAUUAUCUGCCCUCAGGUCCGGGAUAGCUGCGGGAAACUGCAGGUAAUACCGGAUAACAUCUCCGGAUCAAAGGUGUGAUUCCGCCUGAGGAUGAGUCUGCAUCCUAUUAGCUAGUUGGUGGGGUAAUGGCCUACCAAGGCAUUGAUGGGUAGCAGGUGUGAGAGCACGACCUGCGUCAUUGGGACUGAGACACUGCCCAGACAACUACGGGUGGCUGAAGGCGAGAAUCUUCGGCAAUGGGCGCAAGCCUGACCGAGCGACGCCGCGUGUGGGAUGAAGGCCGUCGGGUUGUAAACCACUGUCAGAGGGGAUGAAAUGCAGGUGGGUUCUCCCAUCUGUUUGGCAUAGCCUCAGAGGAAGGACGGGCUAAGUUCGUG